AACGAACGCUGGCGGCGUGCUUAACACAUGCAAGUCGAACGCGAACGUCUUCUUCGGAAGGCUAGUAGAGUGGCGCACGGGUGAGUAACGCGUAAGUAACCUGUCCUGGCAUUCGGGAUAACCCACCGAAAGGUGUGCUAAUACCGGAUACGUCGUGAUCAAUAUCUUUUAUUACGAGAAAGGUGGCCUCUGAUAUAAGCUACUGUGCGAGGAGGGGCUUGCGUACCAUUAGCUAGUCGGUAGGGUAACGGCCUACCGAGGCGACGAUGGUUAGCGGGUCUGAGAGGAUGAUCCGCCACACUGGAACUGGAACACGGACCAGACUCCGUACGGGAGGCAGCAGUGAGGAAUAUUGCGCAAUGGGGGCAACCCUGACGCAGCGACGCCGCGUGGAUGAUGAAGGCCUUCGGGUUGUAAACAGCUGUCGUAGGGGAGGAAAUUUUGACCGAUCCUAGGAGGAAGCACAGGCUAAGUUCGUG
RNAcentral lists this ribosomal RNA (479 nucleotides) under uncultured bacterium. RNAcentral describes it as "bacterial SSU rRNA". It matches the Rfam family "Bacterial small subunit ribosomal RNA", at positions 29 to 507 of the family's 1533-position model. The record is from RNAcentral.